AGCUGUAGAUAGAUGCUCAUAUAUGUGAUAGAUGCUAAGGUGUGAAUACAGACAGAUGUUA
Molecule: small RNA, 61 nt
Filed under: Pongo abelii (Sumatran orangutan)
Lineage: Eukaryota; Metazoa; Chordata; Mammalia; Primates; Hominidae
Source: RNAcentral